AUGGCAGCAAGAGAUGGUGUCAUCUUCGCCAAGUUGAGGGGUUUUUCGAGAGUCGUCCUCGAGACGGAUUGCCGGGAGGUUGUAAACUUCUGGACCAAUCGCCACGAUUCACGCUCAGUCGUGGCACCGAUCAUAGUAGAGAUUGGAGAGCUAGCUAUUAGUUUUACUUCUUUUGUAAUCCAGCAUGUAUCAGGGACAACGAACGGUCCGGCUCAUAUCUGUGUCAAGCAUGCUUACAUGAUUGACGCGACCGAGAGUUGGCUAGACAGUACUCCUAGCUUCUUAAUCAGCAGCCUUUUGGAUGACUGCGCAGAGAACGCUUUUACUUAA
Molecule: ribosomal RNA, 330 nt
Filed under: Triticum aestivum (bread wheat)
Lineage: Eukaryota; Viridiplantae; Streptophyta; Magnoliopsida; Poales; Poaceae
Description: partial small subunit ribosomal RNA
Source: RNAcentral